CCUACGGGAGGCAGCAGUGAGGAAUAUUGGUCAAUGGCCGUAAGGCUGAACCAGCCAAGUAGCGUGAGGGAAGACUGCCCUAUGGGUUGUAAACCUCUUUUAUGCGGGGAUAAAGGUGGGCACGUGUGGAUGUUUGCAGGUACCGCAUGAAUAAGGAUCGGCUAAUUCCGUGCCAGCAGCCGCGGUAAUACGGAAGGUCCGGGCGUUAUCCGGAUUUAUUGGGUUUAAAGGGAGCGUAGGCGGGUCGUUAAGCGUGACGUGAAAGUUUGUGGCUCAACCAUGAGAGUGCGGUGGAUACUGGCGACAUUGAGUGCAGGGAAGGCAGGCGGAAUUCGUGGUGUAGCGGUGAAAUGCUUAGAUAUCACGAAGAACCCCGAUUGCGAAGGCAGCCUGCUGCAGCGUUACUGACGCUGAAGCUCGAAAGCGUGGGUAUCGAACAGGAUUAGAUACCCCUGUAGUC
This 460-nucleotide ribosomal RNA is filed under the name uncultured bacterium. RNAcentral describes it as "partial 16S ribosomal RNA". It matches the Rfam family "Bacterial small subunit ribosomal RNA", at positions 338 to 795 of the family's 1533-position model. The record is from RNAcentral.